Mytilus trossulus (common blue mussel) is the source of this 529-nucleotide long non-coding RNA. RefSeq lists it as uncharacterized. The record is from RefSeq and is a predicted model, not a curated record. The transcript has 3 exons. NCBI's taxonomy places the organism in Eukaryota, Metazoa, Mollusca, Bivalvia, Mytilida, Mytilidae.
UUUGUCGUCUUCUCUUCCAUUAUAUGAACAUGAUUUUAACAUAAAAUAUGUAAUUCAUACUCAUACUUAUGGGCAUUUAUAAAUAUGUAACAUUUACAUUGUAGGGGGGUAUAACCAUUAGUAAUUAUUUACCAGAAUGAAGCACAAAGAAAAAGAAUAAUGAAACUAGGAGAAAAUGUGGUGGUUUUAGAUGUUACAUAUAAAGGUUUUUCCUGGGCAUGAAAUACCAUUUCCUUGGUGGGUAUGCCAAUAGCAGAGUAGAGGACUUAAUAAUCUUACUCCAUGUAAAUGUAACUAUGUUUUAUGACAAUCUAGAUGAACUCGCAAAUAUUAGUCGCUUGAAAAAUAUGGGAGGACAAAGGGAAGACAAAAGUAAAUUGACAGCAGAGAAUAUGCUCAAGGCAGAACUUGAACAAAUGGUGCAAUGGACUUCAUCCACAGAAUGCACUGUUCCAUCACAGACAGCAUUUGGGACGAUUUAUAAUGUAGACAUUGUCAAUGUAGUGUGCAAUUGUCCAGCUGCAACAAC